GUGCUUGCUUCGGCAGCACAUAUACUAAAAUUGUAAUGAUACAGAGAAGAUUAGCAUGGCCCUGCGCAUAAUGCCACAGCUCUGUCCUUUAGGAUUCCCUCAGAUUA
Mustela putorius furo (domestic ferret) is the source of this 107-nucleotide small nuclear RNA. The record is from Ensembl. NCBI's taxonomy places the organism in Eukaryota, Metazoa, Chordata, Mammalia, Carnivora, Mustelidae.